RNAcentral lists this ribosomal RNA (253 nucleotides) under uncultured bacterium. RNAcentral's name for it is "partial 16S ribosomal RNA". It matches the Rfam family "Bacterial small subunit ribosomal RNA", at positions 524 to 776 of the family's 1533-position model. The record is from RNAcentral.
UACGAAGGGGGCUAGCGUUGUUCGGAAUUAUUGGGCGUAAAGGGCGCGUAGGCGGUUUGACAAGUCUGAUGUGAAAUCUCUGGGCUCAACCCAGAGUCUGCAUUAGAAACUGUCGGGCUUGAGUAUGGGAGAGGUGAGUGGAAUUUCCGGUGUAGCGGUGAAAUGCGUAGAUAUCGGAAGGAACACCUGUGGCGAAAGCGGCUCACUGGACCAUAACUGACGCUGAGGCGCGAAAGCUAGGGGAGCAAACAGG